AGACCCGAAACCCGGUGAUCUAGCCAUGGGCAGGUUGAAGGUUGGGUAACACUAACUGGAGGACCGAACCGACUAAUGUUGAAAAAUUAGCGGAUGACCUGUGGCUGGGGGUGAAAGGCCAAUCAAACCGGGAGAUAGCUGGUUCUCCCCGAAAGCUAUUUAGGUAGCGCCUCGUGAAUUCAUCUCCGGGGGUAGAGCACUGUUUCGGCUAGGGGGCCAUCCCGGCUUACCAACCCGAUGCAAACUGCGAAUACCGGAGAAUGUUAUCACGGGAGACACACGGCGGGUGCUAACGUCCGUCGUGAAGAGGGAAACAACCCAGACCGCCAGCUAAGGUCCCAAAGUCAUGGUUAAGUGGGAAACGAUGUGGGAAGGCCCAGACAGCCAGGAUGUUGGCUUAGAAGCAGCCAUCAUUUAAAGAAAGCGUAAUAGCUCACUGGUCGAGUCGGCCUGCGCGGAAGAUGUAACGGGGCUAAACCAUGCACCGAAGCUGCGGCAGCGACACUCAGGUGUUGUUGGGUAGGGGAGCGUUCUGUAAGCCUGCGAAGGUGGCCUGUGAGGGUUGCUGGAGGUAUCAGAAGUGCGAAUGCUGACAUAAGUAACGAUAAAGCGGGUGAAAAGCCCGCUCGCCGGAAGACCAAGGGUUCCUGUCCAACGUUAAUCGGGGCAGGGUGAGUCGACCCCUAAGGCGAGGCCGAAAGGCGUAGUCGAUGGGAAACGGGUUAAUAUUCCCGUACUUGGUGUUACUGCGAAGGGGGGACGGAGAAGGCUAUGUUGGCCGGGCGACGGUUGUCCCGGUUUAAGCGUGUAGGUGUGUGUUCCAGGUAAAUCCGGUUCACUUUAACACUGAGGCGUGAUGACGAGGCGCUACGGUGCUGAAGCAACAAAUGCCCUGCUUCCAGGAAAAGCCUCUAAGCAUCAGGUAACAUCAAAUCGUACCCCAAACCGACACAGGUGGUCAGGUAGAGAAUACCAAGGCGCUUGAGAGAACUCGGGUGAAGGAACUAGGCAAAAUGGUGCCGUAACUUCGGGAGAAGGCACGCUGACACGUAGGUGAAGUGAUUUACUCAUGGAGCUGAAGUCAGUCGAAGAUACCAGCUGGCUGCAACUGUUUAUUAAAAACACAGCACUGUGCAAACACGAAAGUGGACGUAUACGGUGUGACGCCUGCCCGGUGCCGGAAGGUUAAUUGAUGGGGUCAGCGCAAGCGAAGCUCCUGAUCGAAGCCCCGGUAAACGGCGGCCGUAACUAUAACGGUCCUAAGGUAGCGAAAUUCCUUGUCGGGUAAGUUCCGACCUGCACGAAUGGCGUAAUGAUGGCCAGGCUGUCUCCACCCGAGACUCAGUGAAAUUGAACUCGCUGUGAAGAUGCAGUGUACCCGCGGCAAGACGGAAAGACCCCGUGAACCUUUACUAUAGCUUGACACUGAACAUUGAGCCUUGAUGUGUAGGAUAGGUGGGAGGCUUUGAAGUGUGGACGCCAGUCUGCAUGGAGCCGACCUUGAAAUACCACCCUUUAAUGUUUGAUGUUCUAACGUGGACCCGUGAUCCGGGUUGCGGACAGUGUCUGGUGGGUAGUUUGACUGGGGCGGUCUCCUCCUAAAGAGUAACGGAGGAGCACGAAGGUUGGCUAAUCCUGGUCGGACAUCAGGAGGUUAGUGCAAUGGCAUAAGCCAGCUUGACUGCGAGCGUGACGGCGCGAGCAGGUGCGAAAGCAGGUCAUAGUGAUCCGGUGGUUCUGAAUGGAAGGGCCAUCGCUCAACGGAUAAAAGGUACUCCGGGGAUAACAGGCUGAUACCGCCCAAGAGUUCAUAUCGACGGCGGUGUUUGGCACCUCGAUGUCGGCUCAUCACAUCCUGGGGCUGAAGUAGGUCCCAAGGGUAUGGCUGUUCGCCAUUUAAAGUGGUACGCGAGCUGGGUUUAGAACGUCGUGAGACAGUUCGGUCCCUAUCUGCCGUGGGCGCUGGAGAACUGAGGGGGGCUGCUCCUAGUACGAGAGGACCGGAGUGGACGCAUCACUGGUGUUCGGGUUGUCAUGCCAAUGGCACUGCCCGGUAGCUAAAUGCGGAAGAGAUAAGUGCUGAAAGCAUCUAAGCACGAAACUUGCCCCGAGAUGAGUUCUCCCUGAGACUUUAGGUCUCCUGAAGGAACGUUGAAGACGACGACGUUGAUAGGCCGGGUGUGUAAGCGCAGCGAUGCGUUGAGCUAACCGGUACUAAUGAACCGUGAGGCUUAACCUUACA
Molecule: ribosomal RNA, 2242 nt
Filed under: Salmonella enterica subsp. enterica serovar Montevideo
Lineage: Bacteria; Pseudomonadati; Pseudomonadota; Gammaproteobacteria; Enterobacterales; Enterobacteriaceae
Description: partial 23S ribosomal RNA
Rfam family: Bacterial large subunit ribosomal RNA
Source: RNAcentral